GUGAACGCUGGCGGUAGGCCUCACACCUGCAAGUCGAACGGCAGCACAGUAAGAGCUUGCUCUUACGGGUGGCGAGUGGCGGACGGGUGAGGAAUACAUCGGAAUCUACUUUUUCGUGGGGGAUAACGUAGGGAAACUUACGCUAAUACCGCAUACGACCUACGGGUGAAAGCAGGGGAUCUUCGGACCUUGCGCGAUUGAAUGAGCCGAUGUCGGAUUAGCUAGUUGGCGGGGUAAAGGCCCACCAAGGCGACGAUCCGUAGCUGGUCUGAGAGGAUGAUCAGCCACACUGGAACUGAGACACGGUCCAGACUCCUACGGGAGGCAGCAGUGGGGAAUAUUGGACAAUGGGCGCAAGCCUGAUCCAGCCAUACCGCGUGGGUGAAGAAGGCCUUCGGGUUGUAAAGCCCUUUUGUUGGGAAAGAAAAGCAGCAGGUUAAUACCCCGCUGUUCUGACGGUACCCAAAGAAUAAGCACCGGCUAACUUCGU
Molecule: ribosomal RNA, 490 nt
Filed under: uncultured bacterium
Lineage: Bacteria
Description: partial 16S ribosomal RNA
Rfam family: Bacterial small subunit ribosomal RNA
Source: RNAcentral